Molecule: unclassified non-coding RNA, 874 nt
Filed under: Hevea brasiliensis (rubber tree)
Lineage: Eukaryota; Viridiplantae; Streptophyta; Magnoliopsida; Malpighiales; Euphorbiaceae
Source: RNAcentral
AAGAUGCUACAGAAGCUCCUUUUGACCUCCCAAUCGUCCCUGCUGACUCAGAAAGCUGCUGGCUCUCAGCACGCAAUUCGUCCAUCUUUGCUUGAUAUAGCUGUCUAAGAGAAGCCUGUUCAUGUUCAGGAUAUUCAUCCUUGUGAGAAGAAAAGAGAGAUUCUGUGAGGCCCUCAACAUCCAAGUCACCGCAUCCCACAGCUCGUAGGUCUCUAGCAAGUUCCUGAGUCUUUUCAUAUGCCACCGCUAGCAUUCUGAGAUAUAACAAAAGUCCGCCUUCUUCCAUAGGAGGUAAAUUCACAAGAGAAGGUUUGACUAACAAUUUGUCCAAAAGAGCUGUAACUCGCUGCUCCAAAACUCGCUGGACCAAAAUUGACAUGACAUCAUUAGGAGAAGGAAAUACUGCCAUAAUUGUGGCUGCCUCUUUACGAACAGUGUCUGUAAUUUCUUUGUAUAAUGAAGAAAGCCCACGAGCAACAUUACUGGGACUAGCUUGAGAAACCUGAUCACCAAGAACCAAUCUGGUGUCCGCAUUCAUGACUUCCACGUCAAUGAACAUCGGACGUGUUGCCACAUAAUGUUGCAUAGCACUGGUACCCCUGUUAAACUGAGAUAAAAUUUUAGCACAUUCUGCCAUGGUAGACAACUCUCUUCUCUGUGAUGCUGCAUCAAAUCGAGCCAACAAUCUGUUCUCCAGUUCAUUGCAGUAAUCCUGAAGAUUAGCAACUGCAACUUCCAAUCCUCUGCUAGCAGUUGCAUUUCCCAUAACUGAUGGUACAGAUAUGCCUUGUCUUCCCAUAUCUUCCUCAGCAAAGGAACGUAAUUUCUGUGCAAUUGAAGCAGCCUCAGAAACACGGCUGUCAUCUGAAAACAA